RNAcentral lists this unclassified non-coding RNA (500 nucleotides) under Hevea brasiliensis (rubber tree). Lineage: Eukaryota; Viridiplantae; Streptophyta; Magnoliopsida; Malpighiales; Euphorbiaceae. The record is from RNAcentral.
AGUUUAUUCAUAGUCCAGCAUUAUCAUAUUAUUAAAUAUGGAAAAAAAGUUCAAAAAAACCCAUGCACUUUCAAUUGAGGGCCAAAUAAGCCCCAAAUCAAGUUUUGGAUAAAUAAGGGCUGAAUUUUCUAAUUAAGGCCAAUAGACCUAAUUUUUUAUCAAAAAGAUUAAAAUAUUAUUUUCUCUGAUUUUUUAAUAAUACAAUAUUAGUUUUAUGUUUUAAAUUUUUAAAAUAAUUAUCAUUUGUUCAUCAUGUUCUUCAAUUUCUUAUUUUAUUUUAUUUUAUGUUAUUUUUGGAGUGGAGGGUGUUGAUAUGAUGAAAAAUGAUAGUAAAUUUAUUGAUCCAUCAUUAUGUAGAUGGGCAUAUUCCACCCAGUUGCCUAAUCUAUGCUGUUUUGAAAAAUUACUAAUUGCUUAAAUAGAAGAAAAACCAUUGUGCCAAGAAACCACAAAAGCAAAUGCAAAUGCCUUAAAGGUGUAAAAGCACAAAUAAAAGCCCG